AAAAAGCUUGGUCCUGGCUUUAUUAUCAGCUUUUACUAAAUUUAUACAUGCAAGUAUCCACACCCCUGUGAGAAUGCCCUCGAACUUCCUUUUUGGAAACGAGGAGCAGACAUCAGGCCCGCAUUAUGCAGCCCAAGACGUCUUGCUUUGCCACACCCCUAAGGGAAUUCAGCAGUGAUAAACAUUAAGCCAUGAGUGAAAACUCGACUUAGUGAAGGUAUUUAAGGGCCGGUAAAACUCGUGCCAGCCACCGCGGUUAUACGAGAGACCCGAGUUGAUGGAUUUCGGCGUAAAGUGUGGUUAGGAAAUUUGCCGUCUAAAGUUAAACCCCCCCAGAACAGUUAUACGCUCCCGGAGGGAGGAAGCCCGACCACGAAAGUAGCUUUAAGCCUCCGACCCCACGACAGCUAUGAUACAAACUGGGAUUAGAUACCCCACUAUGCAUAGCCGUAAACUUUGAUAGAGAUAUACAACCUCUAUCCGCCAGGGUACUACGAGCGCUAGCUUAAAACCCAAAGGACUUGGCGGUGCUUCAGUCCCCCUAGAGGAGCCUGUCCUAGAACCGAUAAUCCCCGUUCAACCUCACCAUUUCUUGUUCAUCCCGCCUAUAUACCGCCGUCGCCAGUCUACCCUCUAAAGGUUUUAAAGUAGGCAAAAUAGGUAAUCCUUAAAACGUCAGGUCGAGGUGUAGCGAAUGAAGUGGGAAGAGAUGGGCUACAUUCUCUAAACUAGAUGCAUUCACGGAAGGGGUUUUGAAAUUACUCCCUGAAGGCGGAUUUAGUAGUAAGCAUGAAAAUAGAGAGUUCAGCUGAAACCGGCUCUGAAGCGCGUACACACCGCCCGUCACUCUCCCCGAACCCUUAUGUUCUUAUUAAUAAAAAAUUUUAUUUUCAAGGGGAGGCAAGUCGUAACAUGGUAAGUGUACCGGAAGGUGCACUUGGAUAA
This 945-nucleotide non-coding RNA is filed under the name Saurida brasiliensis (Brazilian lizardfish). RNAcentral's name for it is "12S ribosomal RNA". It matches the Rfam family "Bacterial small subunit ribosomal RNA". The record is from RNAcentral. Lineage: Eukaryota; Metazoa; Chordata; Actinopteri; Aulopiformes; Synodontidae.